RNAcentral lists this ribosomal RNA (253 nucleotides) under uncultured bacterium. RNAcentral describes it as "partial 16S ribosomal RNA". It matches the Rfam family "Bacterial small subunit ribosomal RNA", at positions 524 to 776 of the family's 1533-position model. The record is from RNAcentral.
UACGGGGGGUCCAAGCGUUGUUCGGAAUCACUGGGCGUAAAGCGCAUGUAGGUGGCUUUUCAAGUCAACUGUGAAAGCCCCGGGCCUAACCCGGGAAGUGCAGUUGAUACUGUUGAGCUUGAGUACGAGAGAGGAUAGUGGAAUUCCAGGUGUAGCGGUGAAAUGCGUAGAGAUCUGGAGGAAUACCGAUGGCGAAGGCAGCCAUCUGGCCUAACACUGACGCUGAGGUGCGAAAGCAUGGGGAGCAAACAGG